AGUGAACGCUGGCGGUAGGCCUAACACAUGCAAGUCGAACGGCAGCACAGUAAGAGCUUGCUCUUACGGGUGGCGAGUGGCGGACGGGUGAGGAAUACAUCGGAAUCUACUUUUUCGUGGGGGAUAACGUAGGGAAACUUACGCUAAUACCGCAUACGACCUACGGGUGAAAGCAGGGGAUCUUCGGACCUUGCGCGAUUGAAUGAGCCGAUGUCGGAUUAGCUAGUUGGCGGGGUAAAGGCCCACCAAGGCGACGAUCCGUAGCUGGUCUGAGAGGAUGAUCAGCCACACUGGAACUGAGACACGGUCCAGACUCCUACGGGAGGCAGCAGUGGGGAAUAUUGGACAAAGGGCGCAAGCCUGAUCCAGCCAUACCGCGUGGGUGAAGAAGGCCUUCGGGUUGUGAAGCCCUUUUGUUGGGAAAGAAAAGCAGCAGGUUAAUACCCCGCUGUUCUGUCGGUACCCAAAGAAUAAGCACCGGCUAACUUCGCG
RNAcentral lists this ribosomal RNA (492 nucleotides) under uncultured bacterium. Its description in RNAcentral is "partial 16S ribosomal RNA". It matches the Rfam family "Bacterial small subunit ribosomal RNA", at positions 29 to 507 of the family's 1533-position model. The record is from RNAcentral.